AAUACGGAACCUCCGCAAAAAUAUUCAAUUCUUGAGCUGAUUACACCGCAGAUCAGAGAUAGACCAUAACGGGAUCAAGGACAAAAUAACAACUAUGCAAAAUAGCGUAAGCUGGCUACGGAACAACCCUAUCGCAUAAUACAAGAACAACAACUAGUACGGCAACUUGUUGCAAUACCUACAAGGCAAUCCUUUCAACAACAUGGAAUUACAAGAUCUAAGAGUGACGCUACAGAAGAUAACCCUCCGUCGCCUCUAAUCGCCUACUCCAGUUUGAACAGCUAACUGCAUCAAGGCCUCCUGGAAUCCAACGCUCUGUAACCAGCAACAACCUCACCAAAUUAAACUCCGCAAUACCUCAGCCACACCAAAUUCCACACAACACAUGCACGUCAAAAAAUUCAAAGCAAACUCUGUA
Molecule: long non-coding RNA, 418 nt
Filed under: Physcomitrium patens
Lineage: Eukaryota; Viridiplantae; Streptophyta; Bryopsida; Funariales; Funariaceae
Description: long non-coding RNA (PPAT_LNC004610)
Source: RNAcentral